RNAcentral lists this ribosomal RNA (259 nucleotides) under uncultured bacterium. RNAcentral describes it as "partial 16S ribosomal RNA". It matches the Rfam family "Bacterial small subunit ribosomal RNA", at positions 96 to 353 of the family's 1533-position model. The record is from RNAcentral.
CGGCGGACGGGUGAGUAACGCGUGGGUAACCUACCCUGUACACACGGAUAACAUACCGAAAAGUAUGCUAAUACGGGAUAAUAUAUUUGAGAGGCAUCUCUUGAAUAUCAAAGGUGAGCCAGUACAGGAUGGACCCGCGUCUGAUUAGCUAGUUGGUAUGGUAACGGCUUACCAAGGCGACGAUCAGUAGCCGACCUGAGAGGGUGAUCGGCCACAUUGGAACUGAGACACGGUCCAAACUCCUACGGGAGGCAGCAUG